AGCUUUGCGCAAUAGCAGUAUCAUAGACAGUGAGGUUUAUCCAAACACGAUUAUUGCUAAUUGAAAACUUUUCCCAAUACCCCGCGGUGACAACUUGCAAUAUAGUCGACAUUGGCAAUUUUUGACAAAAGAAAAGUGUCUGAUAUAUUCUGUAUUCUAUCUU
This is a small nuclear RNA of Callithrix jacchus (white-tufted-ear marmoset), 163 nucleotides long. Its record names the gene U4. It matches the Rfam family "U4 spliceosomal RNA". Rfam says of the family: U4 small nuclear RNA (U4 snRNA) is a component of the major U2-dependent spliceosome. The record is from Ensembl. NCBI's taxonomy places the organism in Eukaryota, Metazoa, Chordata, Mammalia, Primates, Cebidae.